RNAcentral lists this ribosomal RNA (301 nucleotides) under uncultured bacterium. RNAcentral's name for it is "partial 16S ribosomal RNA". It matches the Rfam family "Bacterial small subunit ribosomal RNA", at positions 509 to 807 of the family's 1533-position model. The record is from RNAcentral.
CAGCCGCCGCGGUAAUACGAAGGGUGCAAGCGUUAAUCGGAAUUACUGGGCGUAAAGCGUGCGUAGGCGGUUUGUUAAGUCUGCUGUGAAAUCCCCGGGCUCAACCUGGGAAUGGCAGUGGAUACUGGCAAGCUAGAGUGUGUCAGAGGAUGGUGGAAUUCCCGGUGUAGCGGUGAAAUGCGUAGAGAUCGGGAGGAACAUCAGUGGCGAAGGCGGCCAUCUGGGACAACACUGACGCUGAGGCACGAAAGCGUGGGGAGCAAACAGGAUUAGAUACCCGGGUAGUCCCUGUCUCUUAUAC